Molecule: ribosomal RNA, 1072 nt
Filed under: Sordariomycetes sp. 11330
Lineage: Eukaryota; Fungi; Ascomycota; Sordariomycetes
Description: eukaryotic LSU rRNA
Rfam family: Eukaryotic large subunit ribosomal RNA (bases 490-1072)
Source: RNAcentral
GAUCAUUACAGAGUUCUAAAAAGACUCCCAAACCAUUGUGAACGUUACCCGUAACAUGUUGCCUCGGCGGGCGUCCCCUCCCUGGGGGCGCGUGGCUUUCGGGCUGCCCGCCGGAGCGCCAAAAACUAUUUUGUAUUUUAGUGGCCUCUCUGAGAAAACAAGCAAAUAAGUUAAAACUUUCAACAACGGAUCUCUUGGUUCUGGCAUCGAUGAAGAACGCAGCGAAAUGCGAUAAGUAAUGUGAAUUGCAGAAUUCAGUGAAUCAUCGAAUCUUUGAACGCACAUUGCGCCCGCCAGUAUUCUGGCGGGCAUGCCUGUUCGAGCGUCAUUUCAACCCUCAAGCCCAGCUUGGUGUUGGGGUCCUACGGCUGCCGUAGGCCCUGAAAGAAAGUGGCGGGCUCGCUAUCAACUCCGAGCGUAGUAGUAACAUAUCUCGCUAGGGAGUCGUCGCGGGUUCCGGCCGUGAAAGCCCCAUCUUUUACACAAGGUUGACCUCGGAUCAGGUAGGAAUACCCGCUGAACUUAAGCAUAUCAAUAAGCGGAGGAAAAGAAACCAACAGGGAUUGCCCCAGUAACGGCGAGUGAAGCGGCAACAGCUCAAAUUUGAAAUCUGGCUUCGGCCCGAGUUGUAAUUUGUAGAGGAUGCUUUUGGUGAGGUGCCUUCUGAGUUCCCUGGAACGGGACGCCAGAGAGGGUGAGAGCCCCGUAUAGUCGGCCACCGAUCCUUUGUAAAGCUCCUUCGACGAGUCGAGUAGUUUGGGAAUGCUGCUCAAAAUGGGAGGUAUAUCUCUUCUAAAGCUAAAUAUUGGCCAGAGACCGAUAGCGCACAAGUAGAGUGAUCGAAAGAUGAAAAGCACUUUGAAAAGAGGGUUAAAUAGUACGUGAAAUUGUUGAAAGGGAAGCGCUUGUGACCAGACUUGUGCCGGGCUGAUCAUCCAGUGUUCUCACUGGUGCACUCUGCCCGGCUCAGGCCAGCGUCGGUUCUCGCAGGUGGACAAAAGCUUCGGGAACGUGGCCCCUCCGGGGGUGUUAUAGCCCGUUGCUCAAUACACUUGUGGGGACCGAGGUUCGC